Molecule: ribosomal RNA, 257 nt
Filed under: uncultured bacterium
Lineage: Bacteria
Description: partial 16S ribosomal RNA
Rfam family: Bacterial small subunit ribosomal RNA
Source: RNAcentral
UACGUAGGCAGCAAGCGUUGUUCGGAGUUACUGGGCGUAAAGGGUGCGUAGGUGGCUCUAUAAGUAUGGUGUGAAAUCUCCCGGCUUAACUGGGAGGGUGCGCCGUAGACUGUGGGGCUAGAGUGUGGGAGAGGAAAGUGGAAUUCCUGGUGUAGCGGUGAAAUGCGUAGAUAUCAGGAGGAACACCGGUGGUGUAAACGGCUUUCUGGACCAUAACUGACGCUGGAGGCGCGAAAAGCCUAGGGGGAGCAAACAGG